RNAcentral lists this ribosomal RNA (472 nucleotides) under uncultured bacterium. RNAcentral describes it as "bacterial SSU rRNA". It matches the Rfam family "Bacterial small subunit ribosomal RNA", at positions 355 to 825 of the family's 1533-position model. The record is from RNAcentral.
UGGGGAAUAUUGGACAAUGGGCGAAAGCCUGAUCCAGCCAUGCCGCGUGUGUGAAGAAGGUCUUCGGAUUGUAAAGCACUUUAAGUUGGGAGGAAGGGUUGUAGAUUAAUACUCUGCAAUUUUGACGUUACCGACAGAAUAAGCACCGGCUAACUCUGUGCCAGCAGCCGCGGUAAUACAGAGGGUGCAAGCGUUAAUCGGAAUUACUGGGCGUAAAGCGCGCGUAGGUGGUUUGUUAAGUUGGAUGUGAAAUCCCCGGGCUCAACCUGGGAACUGCAUUCAAAACUGACAAGCUAGAGUAUGGUAGAGGGUGGUGGAAUUUCCUGUGUAGCGGUGAAAUGCGUAGAUAUAGGAAGGAACACCAGUGGCGAAGGCGACCACCUGGACUGAUACUGACACUGAGGUGCGAAAGCGUGGGGAGCAAACAGGAUUAGAUACCCUAGUAGUCCCUGAGCGGGCUGGCAAGGCGCAU